This 253-nucleotide ribosomal RNA is filed under the name uncultured bacterium. RNAcentral's name for it is "partial 16S ribosomal RNA". It matches the Rfam family "Bacterial small subunit ribosomal RNA", at positions 524 to 776 of the family's 1533-position model. The record is from RNAcentral.
UACGUAGGGUGCAAGCGUUGUCCGGAAUUAUUGGGCGUAAAGAGCUCGUAGGUGGUCUGUUGCGUCGGCUGUGAAAUCCCGAGGCUCAACCUCGAGACGUCGGCGGAAACCAUCUGGCUAGAGUCCGGAAGAGGAGAGUGGAAUUCCUGGUGUAGCGGUGAAAUGCGCAGAUAUCAGGAAGAACACCCGUGGCGAAGGCGGCUCUCUGGGACGGUACUGACGCUGAGACGCGAAAGCGUGGGGAGCGAACAGG